GACGAACGCUGGCGGCGUGCUUAACACAUGCAAGUCGAACGGAGAGGCCCUGCUUUUGUGGGGUGCUCGAGUGGCGAACGGGUGAGUAACACGUGAGUAACCUGCCCUUGACUUUGGGAUAACUUCAGGAAACUGGGGCUAAUACCGGAUAGGAGCUCCUGCUGCAUGGUGGGGGUUGGAAAGUUUCGGCGGUUGGGGAUGGACUCGCGGCUUAUCAGCUUGUUGGUGGGGUAGUGGCUUACCAAGGCUUUGACGGGUAGCCGGCCUGAGAGGGUGACCGGCCACAUUGGGACUGAGAUACGGCCCAGACUCCUACGGGAGGCAGCAGUGGGGAAUAUUGCACAAUGGGCGGAAGCCUGAUGCAGCAACGCCGCGUGCGGGAUGACGGCCUUCGGGUUGUAAACCGCUUUCGCCUGUGACGAAGCGUGAGUGACGGUAAUGGGUAAAGAAGCACCGGCUAACUACGCG
This 468-nucleotide ribosomal RNA is filed under the name uncultured bacterium. Its description in RNAcentral is "partial 16S ribosomal RNA". It matches the Rfam family "Bacterial small subunit ribosomal RNA", at positions 28 to 507 of the family's 1533-position model. The record is from RNAcentral.